RNAcentral lists this ribosomal RNA (474 nucleotides) under uncultured bacterium. Its description in RNAcentral is "bacterial SSU rRNA". It matches the Rfam family "Bacterial small subunit ribosomal RNA", at positions 335 to 801 of the family's 1533-position model. The record is from RNAcentral.
ACUCCUACGGGAGGCAGCAGUAGGGAAUCUUCCACAAUGGGCGCAAGCCUGAUGGAGCAACACCGCGUGAGUGAAGAAGGGUUUCGGUCUCGUAAAGCUCUGUUGUUAAAGAAGAACACGUAUGAGAGUAACUGUUCAUACGUUGACGGUAUUUAACCAGAAAGUCACGGCUAACUACGUGCCAGCAGCCGCGGUAAUACGUAGGUGGCAAGCGUUAUCCGGAUUUAUUGGGCGUAAAGAGAGUGCAGGCGGUUUUCUAAGUCUGAUGUGAAAGCCUUCGGCUUAACCGGAGAAGUGCGUCGGAAACUGGAUAACUUGAGUGCAGAAGAGGGUAGUGGAACUCCAUGUGUAGCGGUGGAAUGCGUAGAUAUAUGGAAGAACACCAGUGGCGAAGGCGGCUACCUGGUCUGCAACUGACGCUGAGACUCGAAAGCAUGGGUAGCGAACAGGAUUAGAUACCCUGGUAGGAUAGCG